This 280-nucleotide ribosomal RNA is filed under the name uncultured bacterium. RNAcentral describes it as "partial 16S ribosomal RNA". It matches the Rfam family "Bacterial small subunit ribosomal RNA", at positions 506 to 784 of the family's 1533-position model. The record is from RNAcentral.
UGCCAGGAGCCGCGGUAAUACGGAGGGUGCAAUCGUGAUCCGGAAUCAUUGGGUUUAAAGGGUCCGCAGGCGGACGUAUAAGUCAGUGGUGAAAUCCUGCAGCUUAACUGCAGAACUGCCAUUGAUACUGUACGUCUUGAAUUCGGUCGAAGUGGGCGGAAUGUGUAGUGUAGCGGUGAAAUGCAUAGAUAUUGACACAGAACACCGAUAGCGAAGGCAGCUCACUAGGCCUGGAUGGAAGCGCAGGGAAGAAAGCGUGGGGCUCGAACAGGAGUAGAUA